CACCACGAUUGGCGCAUCACCUGCGCACCGUGCCACGCUGAAGCACCCAUAGCAACCUUAGCGUGCGCCAACACAACGAAGAGCAACGGCGGAGAGACACCGAAUCGAUCAGCUCCCUUCUACGACCAUCACCACCCCAACAAAGAAGCGCACGGCGCACUGGCUUGCACCCUCUCUUCCGCCACGUCCCUACUAGCUGCUUUGCUUUUUUUUUUAGCAUCCUCUCUUCCAUUUAUCCGUCUUGGAUACGUUCUUCUUUCUUGCUCGUGCGCCCGCGUCAGUUUUUCUGCGUCUCGGGCGUUUGUCGACGUCCGGUUGUGUCGCCGAAACGGUCUGUCUUCGCCAUCUGUGUUGCCUUCCAGGUUAUCUGGUCACUUGUGAGUUCUUUGACUUUUCUCUCUCUGCCUGUUGUCUCGCUUUCUCCCUAAUCGCCGCGUUUCGCUUCCCUGAUUUUCCUCGGUCGUUCCUCCUGCGGCGUGAGUGGUGGUUUUGCGUUUUCCCGUUCAGCUCUCUGUGUCUUCGGCACCUGCGCCUGCGCCUCUUUCGUUCCUCCUGGUUAUAGCCCCGCUUCACUGUGCCGUCGCCUGGUACUCGAUCUUUUUUCUCUAUGCUAGUGCGUGCCCGUGUGAGGCGGACUCGCUUGACCUAAAAGACAAGUUCGAGUCCAUCUUGGCUGGGGCUCUGAGCUGUACCAAGCUCUGCUAUCACGCCCCCUUUUUUCAGGCUUCGGUAGAGGGAGAAGAACCUACCUGGCUCACACCCUUAGCUUUCUUCAGAUGUGGCGCCGAUGGUGAAGCAGUCUGCUGCACAAGUCCCUCUGCGCGUCCCUUCCACGCGAGUGCGCAACGAAUUGCAUUCUAUCAAUGCCGACGGAAAGCAAACGUGUUGUCCCAGCUUGAAGGUGAUCGGUGCCGCUGCACGAAAACCUUCGGCUGCGCUAGCGGACGCACCGUUGCGCCGCAAGCGUGUCCCUGCUGUACCGACGACACCCAAGCGCGCAGGAGGGUGGAAUGCUCCCUGGCAGCCCAGACGCGGUUCUUCUGGCAUCACUCCAGAUGAAGAUAGUCGCAAAGCUCGCGAGCAUCUCCGGCACUCGCCGCCUGGUAAGCGACGAGGUAAUAGCAUUGGACACCGCAGCCACAGCGCCGGCGCUUCGCGUCACGCUCAGCGCCCAGCGAGCGACAUGGUCACUGUAGGGCUUCCACGCAUGCACUCAUCUCCACAGGCGGUGACGUCAGUACACGAAAAUGGGCUGACCAGCGACGAUCUCCUUCUUCUGUGCGGGGUCAAGCCUGGGUCCUCCAAGGCUCUCUGGUACACCACGAUGCGCGCGCAGCUGGAGGCUCGCGCGCUCGCCACGGCAGCGGAGCAAAGCGACAGGGGCGACAGCGCGACUUCCAAUAGACCGAGGACAGGGGUGGGCUCGUCUUCAUCGUCGUCGCACUCGCUAACCCGCAGAGCUGACGCUAGCUCUGAACCGCUCGUGCUGCCAACGGCGCUUUUGCUUCUGACUGAGCCAUCUGACCUGAAUGCGCACACCAUGGGCGCGCCAGAAUCUGCUGCACAACAAAAAGGGAAGAUACCACGUACCCGCUCGGGCGAGGACGACGCCGAGAAAGUAGAAGAGGACGACGGUGCCAGCAGCCUUGGUACCCGCUCCACUUCCCUCUGCUCUGAAAAGGUCGCUAACGCAAGUGUGACGCAAGGAGCGCCUAACGCGGUUCCGCUGGUCCCCCUCAAGAAACUGCGACUCUCGCCAAAGCAACUAACGCAGAUGCGUGUUUCCGUUCUCUCUCUUCAGGCCCUCGCCGACUUGUGACGCAUGCUGCUUAUUCGACGUUGUAUCCUUUCUUGCUUGUUUGAAAUGGUGCUUCUUCCGUGAUGGUGGAG
Molecule: unclassified non-coding RNA, 1890 nt
Filed under: Leishmania donovani
Lineage: Eukaryota; Euglenozoa; Kinetoplastea; Trypanosomatida; Trypanosomatidae
Description: gene:LdHU3.34.4220(CDS-product:hypothetical_prote in_conserved)
Source: RNAcentral